GACGAACGCUGGCGGCGUGCCUAACACAUGCAAGUUGAGCGACGAACCAGGGCUUGCCCUGGGGCAACGCAGCGAACGGGUGAGUAACACGUGGGUAACCUACCCCGAUAACCGGGACAACCCGCGGAAACUCGGGCUAAUACCGGAUGUACUCACUGGACUUCGGUUCAGUGCGUAAAGGAAGCUUCGGCCUCCGUAUCGGGAGGGGCCCGCGGCCCAUUAGUUUGUUGGUGAGGUAACGGCUGACCAAGGCCGCGAUGGGUAGCUGGUCUGAGAGGACGAUCAGCCACACUGGAACUGAGACACGGCCCAGACUCCUACGGGAGGCAGCAGUGGGGAAUCUUGCGCAAUGGGCGAAAGCGUGACGCAGCAACGCCGCGUGGGGGAAGAAGGCCUUCGGGUUGUAAACCCCUUUUAGGAGGGACGAAGGUGCGGCGGUGAAUAGCCGUCCGGACUGACGGUACCUCCACAAGAAGCCCCGGCUAACUACGUG
Molecule: ribosomal RNA, 493 nt
Filed under: uncultured bacterium
Lineage: Bacteria
Description: partial 16S ribosomal RNA
Rfam family: Bacterial small subunit ribosomal RNA
Source: RNAcentral